CCUACGGGAGGCAGCAGUAAGGAAUAUUGGUCAAUGGACGAAAGUCUGAACCAGCCAUGCCGCGUGAAGGAUUAAGGCCCUCUGGGUUGUAAACUUCUUUUAUCUGGGACGAAAAAAGGGUAUUCUUACUCACUUGACGGUACCAGAGGAAUAAGCACCGGCUAACUCCGUGCCAGCAGCCGCGGUAAUACGGAGGGUGCAAGCGUUAUCCGGAUUUACUGGGUUUAAAGGGUGCGUAGGUGGGCUUGUAAGUCAGUGGUGAAAUCUCCGGGCUUAACCCGGAAACUGCCAUUGAUACUAUAGGUCUUGAAUUAUCUGGAGGUAAGCGGAAUAUGUCAUGUAGCGGUGAAAUGCUUAGAUAUGACAUAGAACACCAAUUGCGAAGGCAGCUUACUACGGAUAUAUUGACACUGAGGCACGAAAGCGUGGGGAUCAAACAGGAUUAGAUACCCUGGUAGUCCACGCCCUAAACGAUGGAUACUCGACAUCAGCGAUACACUGUUGGUGUCUGAGCGAAAGCAUUAAGUAUCCCACCUGGAAGUACGAUCGCAGAUUGAAACUCAAGGAAUUGACGGCUGAGAGNGCGAGACGACGACGAGGAGAGG
This 605-nucleotide ribosomal RNA is filed under the name uncultured bacterium. RNAcentral describes it as "bacterial SSU rRNA". It matches the Rfam family "Bacterial small subunit ribosomal RNA", at positions 338 to 946 of the family's 1533-position model. The record is from RNAcentral.